This 596-nucleotide ribosomal RNA is filed under the name uncultured bacterium. RNAcentral's name for it is "bacterial SSU rRNA". It matches the Rfam family "Bacterial small subunit ribosomal RNA", at positions 97 to 728 of the family's 1533-position model. The record is from RNAcentral.
GGCGCACGGGUGCGUAACGCGUGCGAACCUGCCCUUAGGUUCGGAAUAACAGUUAGAAAUGACUGCUAAUACCGAAUAAUGACUUCGGACCAAUGAUUUAUCGCCUUUGGAUGGGCCCGCGUAGGAUUCGCUAGUUGGUGAGGUAAAGGCUCACCAAGGCGACGAUCCUUUGCUGGUCUUAGAGGAUGAUCAGCCACACUGGGACUGAGACACGGCCCAGAAUCCAACGGGAGGCAGCAGUGGGGAAUAUUGGACCAUGGGCGAAAGCCUGAUCCAGCAAUGCCGCGUGAGUGAUGAAGGCCUUAGGGAUGUAAAGCUCUUUUACCCGGGAUGAUAAUGACAGUACCGGGAGAAUAAGCCCCGGCUAACUCCGUGCCAGCAGCCGCGGUAAUACGGAGGGGGCUAGCGUUCUUCGGAAAUACUGGGCGUAAAGCGCACGUAGGCGGCAUAGCAAGUCAGGGGUGAAAUCCCGGGGCUCAACCCCGGAACUGCCCUUGAAACUGCUAAGCUAGAAUCCUGGAGCGGCGAGUGGAAUUCCGUGUGUAGCGGUGAAAUUCGUAGAAAUUCGGAAGAACACCAGUGGGGUAGGCGACUCG